UACGGGAGGCAGCAGUAGGGAAUCUUUCACAAUGGGCGAAAGCCUGAUGGAGCAACGCCGCGUGCAGGAUGAAGGCCUUCGGGUUGUAAACUGCUUUUAUAAGCGAGGAAUAUGACNGGUAGCUUAUGAAUAAGGACCGGCUAACUACGUGCCAGCAGCCGCCGGUAAAU
This 170-nucleotide ribosomal RNA is filed under the name uncultured rumen bacterium. RNAcentral's name for it is "partial 16S ribosomal RNA". It matches the Rfam family "Bacterial small subunit ribosomal RNA", at positions 340 to 525 of the family's 1533-position model. The record is from RNAcentral.